GAUUAGUAUUUAUUUAUUAAUUUUUUUUUAUUUUUAGAUUAAAUUAUUAAAAUUAUUUAUAAAAAGUUAAGUUUUGUAUAGUUUAUAGAUAAAAUUAAAUUAAUUAUAGUUUAUAGUAAUGUAAAUGAAUAUUUAAAUAAAUUGAAAAAUUAUUAUUUUUAAAGAAUAAUUUAUUUUUAGUACCUUUUGUAUCAGGGUUUAUUAAUUAUAAAAUAAUUAUGUUAUUAUUCCCGAAUUUAUAAGAGUUAAUUAAUUAUUUAAGUUAUUAUAUUAAAAAUAUUUAUAAUAUUUAAUUAGAAAUGAUAAGUUAUUCGUUUAUAAAUAUAUCUGGUUUUUUAGAAAUGAAUUAAAUUCAAAAUUUUUGGUUGUAUAAUUUUUAAUUAAAAAAAUUAUGUUAUAAAAAUUUUAUAUUAUUUGGGAUAAGCUAAUUAAUAAAAUUAUNACANUAUCAUUAUAUUAUAAAUAAAAUAUAUGAUUGAGAUUUUUAUUUAUUUUAGAAAUUGUUAUAGAUUAUUAUAAUAAAUUUUAGUAUUUUAAAAAGUUUAAUUUUUUAUAAAAAUAUUAUUUUUAAUUUUAUAAAAUAAGUGAUAAUGAUAGAAUUAGUAUAUUUAUUUAUAUAUAUAUAUAUAUAUAUAUAUAUAUAUAUAUAUAUAUAUAUAUGUUUUGUGUGUAUAUUUAUUUAUUUUUGAUAGGUAUUAUUAAGGAACUCGGCAAAAAUUAUAUUUGCCCUGUUUAACAAAAACAUGUCCUUUAGUAAUAAAUUUGAGGUCUGAUCUGCUCACUGACUUUAGGUUUAAGAGCCGCAGUAUAUUGACUGUGCAAAGGUAGCAUAAUAAAUAGUUUUUUAAUUGAAAGCUUGUAUGAAUGAUUUGACAAAAUAUAAACUGUCUUAUUUUUAUUUAUAUUAAAAUUUUAUUUUUUAGUAAAAAAGCUAAAAUUUUUUAAAAAGACGAGAAGACCCUUUAAAUCUUUAUAUUUUAUAGGAUAUUUUAUUUUAAUUAUUAUUUUAAAUUAUUUUAUGAUUUAUUUUAUUGGGGUGAUAUUAAAAUUUAUAAAACUUUUAAUUUUUAAAAACAUUGAUUUAUGAAUAUUUGAUCCAAUUAUUUUGAUUAAAAAUUUAAGUUACUUAAGGGAUAACAGCGUAAUUAUUUUAGAGAGUUCUAAUCGAUAAAAGUGAUUGCGACCUCGAUGUUGGAUUAAGAUUACUUUAAGUGUAGAGGCUUAAAGGAUUGGUCCGUUCGACCUU
Molecule: ribosomal RNA, 1246 nt
Filed under: Stylogaster neglecta
Lineage: Eukaryota; Metazoa; Arthropoda; Insecta; Diptera; Conopidae
Description: partial 16S ribosomal RNA
Source: RNAcentral